CAGCUCUUCUGUACUCAUGCUUGACAACUCCUGAACAAAGUCAAUUUUAGCUUUUAUUAGAUGAAACAAAAGAAAAUCACUUGCAGAGGCACAAACGUGAGUUGAAACAAUUGGUCAAGCCAAGAUAAGCCGUUGAAUGAAACACAUCAAUAAAUAAGAUAGAUUUGGAAGAAGUAUAAGAUGGCGAGCACGUCAGAUAUGAGAUGAGGAAUUCUUAGGCUGACAGGCUGGAAUGUGCCGCUUUCCUACUUUAUGACAGUUAUCAAUUGUCUAAUUGGAAUCACAGCACAACCCUUGUUUUACUCGUUUCAUAAGGAGGACAAGAGAAAAGGAACAGAGCAAUAAGCAAUAGCAGACAAGAAACCUCGUGGGGUCAAACCAAAGAGCAAGAAAAUGGUGCGGCUUUAACAAUGCUUUAAGCGCUCAGAGUACACGGUUUACAAAGAAAAAUACGUACAGGGAUGACGCCAUCAGCAAUUUUGAGCCUAUAAUGUUCUUGAGCUGUGAUUCUCAAUUUCUCUGUAGCCUACGGGAGUAAGAAACUUCGUGAGUGAGACAAGCUGGCUAGUCUUGUUUUCAAAUGCGUCCAAUCACCAAAUUAAUCAAAUACCUUGGGGGCUGCUUGGGAGGAUUUCCACAAUAUUGCAGCACAGGCUUCAGGACUGAUAAGAAAGACAGGGAUAAAUGCAGACGUGAGACCUCAAACAUCAUUUACAUGUAAAUCGAGUAUCAUAACUACACACCUGAAAGUGUAGCUUAUAAAAUCUUAUCAAGCAGUUCUUCAACGAGUGUCUGAGC
Long non-coding RNA from Cucurbita maxima (winter squash), 798 nucleotides. RefSeq lists it as uncharacterized. The transcript has 4 exons. Lineage: Eukaryota; Viridiplantae; Streptophyta; Magnoliopsida; Cucurbitales; Cucurbitaceae. The record is from RefSeq and is a predicted model, not a curated record.